AGCCUGUUUAGACUACCCAUUUAAGUGAGUAAAUGUUUAUUUAUAUAAACAUUUCCCCUUUUCUUUUUAUUUUCCCCAAACGUCGAUCACGAACCCGAUUCAUCUCUUCCUCCCCGACUCUUCCUCGCGUUCCCUCUCUUGGCGACCGGCGAUUUUCUCUUCAUCUUCUUGGCGUCGUCGCCGGCACAGAUCAGUCUUGGAGCGAGAAGGAGGGAAGCUUGUCGAGUCUACGGUCUCCAUUCUCCGAUUUCUUCCUUGUCGGCCGAUUCUGCCGAGCCCUAGUUUCUGCUCCGGCGUGGUUGGAGUGAGUUCAGAUCUAGCCGACAUCCUUCGUCUCCUUCUUCCUCUCGCGACACCGAGUAACGCAGUGGCGACCAUUGCUUUGUCUUCUCCUUUGCCCUAGCCGGCGACGGCCGCCCCCUCUGCUGCAACUUGGCAGCACAACCACCACCGGCGAGCCCUUGUUUGCCGACCUCAACAACCUCUUUCGGUGAUUUCGGCUUGGGAAAGAAACUAUUGGCACAUAGUGGCUCCUUGGCAGUGUCGGCAAUUGAAAUUCCAGUGGGUUGUUGUUGUGGAUUGUCCCUGUUGCCGAUCACCACUUCUCCUUCUUGAUCCGAUGGAUUCCAGCAGUACCUAUUUAGUUGCAGUGUUACAUUGAGGAUUGAGGUUGUUAAUCUGUGCAGCUUGAGGCAUGGACUUUGGUUUGAGACAAGACGCUGGAUUUGACUGGAUUGGACCUGCGAUUUGAG
This is a long non-coding RNA of Zingiber officinale, 752 nucleotides long. RefSeq lists it as uncharacterized. The record is from RefSeq and is a predicted model, not a curated record. Lineage: Eukaryota; Viridiplantae; Streptophyta; Magnoliopsida; Zingiberales; Zingiberaceae. The transcript has 4 exons.